GCGGGUGUAGCUCAAUGGUAGAGCGUUAGCCUUCCAAGCUAUUUACGUGGGUUCGAUUCCCAUCACCCGCA
Molecule: transfer RNA, 71 nt
Filed under: Rickettsiales bacterium
Lineage: Bacteria; Pseudomonadati; Pseudomonadota; Alphaproteobacteria; Rickettsiales
Description: tRNA-Gly
Rfam family: tRNA
About the family: Transfer RNA (tRNA) molecules are approximately 80 nucleotides in length. Their secondary structure includes four short double-helical elements and three loops (D, anti-codon, and T loops).
Source: RNAcentral